RNAcentral lists this ribosomal RNA (439 nucleotides) under uncultured bacterium. Its description in RNAcentral is "partial 16S ribosomal RNA". It matches the Rfam family "Bacterial small subunit ribosomal RNA", at positions 339 to 795 of the family's 1533-position model. The record is from RNAcentral.
CUACGGGUUGCAGCAGUGAGGAAUAUUGCACAAUGGGGGGAACCCUGAUGCAGCAACGCCGCGUGGAGGAUGACGCAUUUCGGUGUGUAAACUCCUUUUAUAUGUCAAGAAAAUGACGGUAGCAUAUGAAUAAGCACCGGCUAACUCCGUGCCAGCAGCCGCGGUAAUACGGAGGGUGCAAGCGUUACUCGGAAUCACUGGGCGUAAAGGACGCGUAGGCGGGUUGGAAAGUCAGGUGUGAAAUCCUACAGCUUAACUGUAGAACUGAACUUGAAACUUCUAAUCUAGAGUAUGGGAGGGGGAGAUGGAAUUAGUGGUGUAGGGGUAAAAUCCGUAGAUAUCACUAGGAAUACCUAAAGCGAAGGCGAUCUCCUGGAACAUUACUGACGCUAAAGCGUGAAAGCGUGGGGAGCAAACAGGAUUAGAUACCCGGGUAGUC